This 848-nucleotide ribosomal RNA is filed under the name uncultured beta proteobacterium. Its description in RNAcentral is "bacterial SSU rRNA". It matches the Rfam family "Bacterial small subunit ribosomal RNA", at positions 8 to 852 of the family's 1533-position model. Lineage: Bacteria; Pseudomonadati; Pseudomonadota; Betaproteobacteria. The record is from RNAcentral.
AGAGUUUGAUCAUGGCUCAGAUUGAACGCUGGCGGCAUGCCUUACACAUGCAAGUCGAACGGCAGCACGGACUUCGGUCUGGUGGCGAGUGGCGAACGGGUGAGUAAAAUAUCGGAACAUACCCUAGAGUGGGGGAUAACGUAGCGAAAGUUACGCUAAUACCGCAUACGAUCUGAGGAUGAAAGUGGGGGAUCGCAAGACCUCAUGCUCAUGGAGUGGCCGAUAUCUGAUUAGCUAGUUGGUAGGGUAAAAGCCUACCAAGGCGACGAUCAGUAGCUGGUCUGAGAGGACGACCAGCCACACUAGAACUGAGACACGGUCCAGACUCCUACGGGAGGCAGCAGUGGGGAAUUUUGGACAAUGGGGGCAACCCUGAUCCAGCAAUGCCGCGUGAGUGAAGAAGGCCUUCGGGUUGUAAAGCUCUUUUGUCAGGGAAGAAACGGUGUUUCCUAAUACGGAAUGCUAAUGACGGUACCUGAAGAAUAAGCACCGGCUAACUACGUGCCAGCAGCCGCGGUAAUACGUAGGGUGCAAGCGUUAAUCGGAAUUACUGGGCGUAAAGCGUGCGCAGGCGGUUAUAUAAGUCAGAUGUGAAAUCCCCGGGCUCAACCUGGGAACUGCAUUUGAGACUGUAUGGCUAGAGUGUGUCAGAGGGGGGUAGAAUUCCACGUGUAGCAGUGAAAUGCGUAGAUAUGUGGAGGAAUACCGAUGGCGAAGGCAGCCCCCUGGGAUAACACUGACGCUCAUGCACGAAAGCGUGGGGAGCAAACAGGAUUAGAUACCCUGGUAGUCCACGCCCUAAACGAUGUCUACUAGUUGUUGGGUCUUAAUUGACUUAGUAACGCAGC